Molecule: ribosomal RNA, 497 nt
Filed under: uncultured bacterium
Lineage: Bacteria
Description: partial 16S ribosomal RNA
Rfam family: Bacterial small subunit ribosomal RNA
Source: RNAcentral
GAUGAACGCUGGCGGCGUGCCUAAUACAUGCAAGUCGAGCGAACGGACGAGAAGCUUGCUUCUCUGAUGUUAGCGGCGGACGGGUGAGUAACACGUGGAUAACCUACCUAUAAGACUGGGAUAACUUCGGGAAACCGGAGCUAAUACCGGAUAAUAUUUUGAACCGCAUGGUUCAAAAGUGAAAGACGGUCUUGCUGUCACUUAUAGAUGGAUCCGCGCUGCAUUAGCUAGUUGGUAAGGUAACGGCUUAUCAAGGCAACGAUGCAUAGCCGACCUGAGAGGGUGAUCGGCCACACUGGAACUGAGACACGGUCCAGACUCCUACGGGAGGCAGCAGUAGGGAAUCUUCCGCAAAGGGCGAAAGCCUGACGGAGCAACGCCGCGUGAGUGAUGAAGGUCUUCGGAUCGUAAAACUCUGUUAUUAGGGAAGAACAUAUGUGUAAGUAACUGUGCACAGCUUGACGGUACCUAAUCAGAAAGCCACGGCUAACUACGUG